RNAcentral lists this ribosomal RNA (1451 nucleotides) under uncultured organism. RNAcentral's name for it is "SSU rRNA". It matches the Rfam family "Bacterial small subunit ribosomal RNA". The record is from RNAcentral.
GGCUACAGGCUUAACACAUGCAAGUCGAGGGGCAGCAUGGUCUUAGCUUGCUAAGGCCGAUGGCGACCGGCGCACGGGUGAGUAACACGUAUCCAACCUGCCGUCUACUCUUGGACAGCCUUCUGAAAGGAAGAUUAAUACAAGAUGGCAUCAUGAGUCCGCAUGUUCACAUGAUUAAAGGUAUUCCGGUAGACGAUGGGGAUGCGUUCCAUUAGAUAGUAGGCGGGGUAACGGCCCACCUAGUCUUCGAUGGAUAGGGGUUCUGAGAGGAAGGUCCCCCACAUUGGAACUGAGACACGGUCCAAACUCCUACGGGAGGCAGCAGUGAGGAAUAUUGGUCAAUGGGCGAGAGCCUGAACCAGCCAAGUAGCGUGAAGGAUGACUGCCCUGUGGGUUGCAAACUUCUUUUAUAAAGGAAUAAAGUCGGGUAUGGAUACCCGUUUGCAUGUACUUUAUGAAUAAGGAUCGGCUAACUCCGUGCCAGCAGCCGCGGUAAUACGGAGGAUCCGAGCGUUAUCCGGAUUUAUUGGGUUUAAAGGGAGCGUAGAUGGAUGUUUAAGUCAGUUGUGAAAGUUUGCGGCUCAACCGUAAAAUUGCAGUUGAUACUGGAUAUCUUGAGUGCAGUUGAGGCAGGCGGAAUUCGUGGCGUAGCGGUGAAAUGCUUAGAUAUCACGAAGAACUCCGAUUGCGAAGGCAGCCUGCUAAGCUGCAACUGACAUUGAGGCUCGAAAGUGUGGGUAUCAAACAGGAUUAGAUACCCUGGUAGUCCACACGGUAAACGAUGAAUACUCGCUGUUUGCGAUAUACUGCAAGCGGCCAAGCGAAAGCGUUAAGUAUUCCACCUGGGGAGUACGCCGGCAACGGUGAAACUCAAAGGAAUUGACGGGGGCCCGCACAAGCGGAGGAACAUGUGGUUUAAUUCGAUGAUACGCGAGGAACCUUACCCGGGCUUAAAUUGCAGAUGAAUUACGGUGAAAGCCGUAAGCCGCAAGGCAUCUGUGAAGGUGCUGCAUGGUUGUCGUCAGCUCGUGCCGUGAGGUGUCGGCUUAAGUGCCAUAACGAGCGCAACCCUUGUUGUCAGUUACUAACAGGUUCCGCUGAGGACUCUGACAAGACUGCCAUCGUAAGAUGUGAGGAAGGUGGGGAUGACGUCAAAUCAGCACGGCCCUUACGUCCGGGGCUACACACGUGUUACAAUGGGGGGUACAGAGGGCCGCUACCACGCGAGUGGAUGCCAAUCCCCAAAACCUCUCUCAGUUCGGACUGGAGUCUGCAACCCGACUCCACGAAGCUGGAUUCGCUAGUAAUCGCGCAUCAGCCACGGCGCGGUGAAUACGUUCCCGGGCCUUGUACACACCGCCCGUCAAGCCAUGGGAGCCGGGGGUACCUGAAGUGCGUAACCGCGAGGAGCGCCCUAGGGUAAAACUGGUGACUGGGGCUAAGUCAUAACA